GAUGAACGCUGGCGGCGUGCCUAAUACAUGCAAGUCGAGCGAACAGACGAGUAGCUUGCUCCUCUGACGUUAGCGGCGGACGGGUGAGUAACACGUGGAUAACCUACCUAUAAGACUGGGAUAACUUCGGGAAACCGGAGCUAAUACCGUAUAAUAUAUUUAACCGUAUGGUUCAAUAGUGAAAGACGGUUUUGCUUUCACUUAUAGAUGGAUCCGCGCCGCAUUAGCUAGUUGGUAAGGUAACGGCUUACCAAGGCAACGAUGCGUAGCCGAACUGAGAGGGUGAUCGGCCACACUGGAACGGAGACACGGUACAGACUCCUACGGGAGGCAGCAGUAGGGAAUCUGCCGCAAUGGGCGAAAGCCUGACGGAGAAACGCCGCGUGAGUGAUGAAGGUCUUCGGAUCGUAAAACACUGUUAUUAGGGAAGAACAAAUGUGUAAGUAACUAUGAACGUAUUGACGGUACCUAAUCAGAAAGCCACGGCUAACUAAGUG
RNAcentral lists this ribosomal RNA (497 nucleotides) under uncultured bacterium. RNAcentral's name for it is "partial 16S ribosomal RNA". It matches the Rfam family "Bacterial small subunit ribosomal RNA", at positions 28 to 507 of the family's 1533-position model. The record is from RNAcentral.